Non-coding RNA from Camellia sinensis, 409 nucleotides. NCBI's taxonomy places the organism in Eukaryota, Viridiplantae, Streptophyta, Magnoliopsida, Ericales, Theaceae. The record is from RefSeq and is a predicted model, not a curated record.
UGCAAAUAGAGACACAAAAGGAACAAAUACAAAUGCAGAACAAUAAAAUAGAAGAUCUUGAAGAGGGUAAGAAGAAGCAAGGGGAGAUAAUGGCUGAUGUUGUCAACUUUUUGAGGACCAAAGGAUUCACUGGAGACUUUGGAAGUGGAGGGAACUCAUCCACAAGUGGACAUACUUCUUGAUUGGAUUGGGGUGGCAUUUUUGACGUGCAACAAUGAUGUAAUUUGUUUGAAUGUUCAUUUUUGUUUGAUAAGGAUACACAUACUUUUUGGAGUUACACUAGUUAUUGUUGGAUUUUUGGUGGAAUUGAACAAGUUAUAACUUUUGGAUAUUUUGUGGAUAUUUCACUAUUUUAUUAUAUCAGGAUGAAAUUAUUUGUAAUGAUGAAUGUAUAUUUUCAUUUUGUUAA